RNAcentral lists this long non-coding RNA (489 nucleotides) under Lepidothrix coronata (blue-crowned manakin). RNAcentral's name for it is "lncRNA (ENSLCOG00000005394.1)". The record is from RNAcentral. Lineage: Eukaryota; Metazoa; Chordata; Aves; Passeriformes; Pipridae.
CACUCCUUGGCUUCAAGCUUUGCCUUGGGGAAACUCCAAAGUCCUCCUGCCACAAGUACCCUGCCCUGCAGCACAUUGCACAUACCUACUUCUGCCCAGGGCUGGCUCUCUUCUUGCCCUGAGGGGAUGCCUGAGGAUGAAUUCUCUGCUGUGGCCUCUGGAAUUGCUUUCUGCAGGAACUGGGACCCCAACUGCUCACUGGGACAGCUGGUUGAGGCUUCAGUCACCACUGUAACACAGAGCACAGAAACUGUCUGCUUUAGGCGACAACACCGGAUCUACUUAGUGUCCUUCUCACAGCCAAGAAGGAGGAGAGUUCAUGGAGAGGAAUUCAGGGCGGAAAACAAAGUGAACCAUUGGAAACUGCUUUCAGACUGCAGAUUCCAACCAGAUUUGUGUCAUGACUUCAGCCAGGGCAUUCUUCACCCACGUGGGACAAUGUCAGGAGCCUCAGUGACAUCGAGGCAGGGUCGGGAAUGUUCUUGGUGA